Pelobates cultripes (western spadefoot toad) is the source of this 2016-nucleotide non-coding RNA. Lineage: Eukaryota; Metazoa; Chordata; Amphibia; Anura; Pelobatidae. The record is from the annotation of a GenBank genome assembly.
CAUUCUGGAGUGUUUGUGCCAUCAGAUCCUCAGGAACUGCUCACCAAUCUCGUCUGGCUAACCUCUACAGAUUAUUUUGUAAUUGCGUCUGUUCAGCCACAACUCAUGCAGGCCGGAGAAACUGAGUUGCUUACCUAUGAGGACAUAAACUGUGCACACAUGUACCCGGAAAAUUCCUGAAAGUAAAGUGUUGUCUAAAGCUGCAAGCUCAUGAAAUAACCUUCUCGACAAUUUGGAGUGGUGAAAAUCCAGCAACAAAAGGAAGUACUAAUGACUAUGUAAAAACGGAUAUUGUCUUAUUGUCAGUCGUCUUGCUACUAUCAGCUACUUUAUGGAACAUAACCUAUGGCGUACAAGCUGAUUUUUCUUAUGUUUUUGAAAGACUUUUUUUUUUUUCUGGACUAUUCUAAAGUGUUUUGUAACAAGAUUUUUUUUCUUUUUGUAGAGUUAGACAGAGAAGGAGGAAGUGUAAGUAAACCCAGAAAUAGGUGUAUGAUUGAGUAAAGGAUGUGUGGUGUGGAUGAAUGUUGAAUUUAUCAAGUCUAGAUUUAAAUGAUUUCAUAACUGAUAUGAAACCACUUGUAUGUAGUAGUGAGAUAUAUUACCUCCUCUAACGGUACAAAGAAAGCUUUUAAUAUGUAAUCUUGAUGUUGCUUUACCUUAAUGCUCCUUAUACUUGUCACCUGGUUGCAUCAGGCACUGAGGGUAGUGGUGUUGUGGAGACAGGCUCAGGCACUGAGGGUAAUGGUGUUGUGGAGACAGGCUUGGUGAGGCCUAAUAGAAAGCAGUUGUUGUUGGGGGAUUCCAUCAUAAGAGGUGUGGAGAUGGACAAUGGUGGUCUUAUGAUAUGUCUUCCCAGAGCUACUGCUCACAAAGACAGGAGACGUAUUUGUAAUAUUGUUAAGCAAACAAAGCAGGAAGGGGAAUUGGAUGUACUUGCCCAUCUAGGGACAAAUGACUUGGCUUGCAAUGAGGUUUCAGAGGUUAAGGAAGUUUUUAGUGUUUUUGCCAAUGAUAUACGGCAGGUUGCUUCCACACUGUCAUUCUCUGAAGUUCUGCCUGUGCAUAACACUCAGAAUGACAGAUGGAUGCGUAGUAGGGACUUUAACUUGUGGCUUGGUGAAUGGUGUUGGGAGCAAGGAUUUGGCUUUAUUUCUCAUGGUAGCUCUGUUUGGAAUGGAAAUAAACUGUACAAAAAAGAUGGUUUGCAUCUUUCUCAAAAGGGAACAAUUGUUCGCAGUGAGCAGUUCAGAGGUUUUGCUAGGAUGUAUUUAAACUAGGAGAGGGGGGCAAAAGGGUGAUAACACAUCAAUCCAAUUAUCCCCCUAGACAAGGACAGAAGGUGCAUGUAGCAAGUGUGUUAAAAAAUGAUAAGCUUAGAGUCAUGUCUACAAAUGCUCGUAGUUUAGGAAAUAAGAUCCAUGAACUUGUGGCAAUAAUGGUAACUGAUGAUGUAGAUUUAGUCGCUGUUACUGAGACAUGGUAUAAUGAGAAAAAUGACUGGGACAUAGUACCAGGGUACUCUUUAUAUAGAAAAGACAGGAAAGGCAAGAAAGGGGUAGGGGUGGCCCUGUAUGUGAAGGAUAGCAAAAAAUCUAGCCUAAUAAAAGUUAGUGAGGUGAACAUAGAGUCUGUUUGGGUUACGUUAGAAUUUGGUAAUCACACAGUAACUCGUGUAGGUGUGAUUUAUGGAAGAGUUAGAUAAUCUACUAGUUGAGGAAAUAGCUAAAAUGACAAUGAAGGAGAAUGUUAUCAUCAUGAGUGGGUGACUUUAAUCUUCCUGAUGUGAAUUGGAAAACAAAAAUAGCUACUUGUGCCAGGAGCACACAUAUUCUAAACUCCCUAUUGGGAUUGUCUCUAAAACAAGUCGUUGAGGAGCCAACUCGUAAAGAGGCCAUACUAGAUUUAGUGUUAACAAAUGGAGAUUUGGUAUCAGAUAUUACUGUAGGUGAAAGUUUAGGAUCCAGCGAUCACCAGUCAGUGUGGUUUAAUAUAAGUACAGUGACUGAGUCACAC